This 107-nucleotide small nuclear RNA is filed under the name Jaculus jaculus (lesser Egyptian jerboa). The record is from RNAcentral. Lineage: Eukaryota; Metazoa; Chordata; Mammalia; Rodentia; Dipodidae.
GUGAUUUAAAAUUCACCACAUAUACUAAAAUUGGAACAAUACAGAGAAGAUUAGCCUGGCCCCUACUCAAGGAUGACACGCAAAUUCAUGACACGUUCCGUAUGUAU